This is a long non-coding RNA of Cyanistes caeruleus (blue tit), 1043 nucleotides long. The record is from Ensembl. NCBI's taxonomy places the organism in Eukaryota, Metazoa, Chordata, Aves, Passeriformes, Paridae.
CUCACACAGCUUUUCUAGUGCUUCUCUUUCAACAAGACUUUUAUGAUGAAAAUAUAAAUAAAAAGUGACAUAAAAUUAUACAGCUCAGCACAAGACUGGUUGAGGCAAAAUCUUCUUACUGCCAUUUUCAUGGCUACACCAUAAAGUUAUAACCAAUUAGUUAUUAAGUUUUCUCUGCUUUUAAUCCUUUGUCAUGCACAUGGGCUCAGAGAGGUAUUGCCACUCAUACUUUGUUAAUUUAUAGCACAAUCAUAUGUCUGUGAUGCUAUAUUUUAUUUGAUUCUUUCUUGCAUUAAGAAGUUUAAUUGCUUUGCUCUGUUUAGUGCAGAACUUGUAAUAGAGAACAAAUACAAGAGCAUGACCCUUCACAAGUAAAUUGUAGUUCUGGGUUAAACCUAGUCAGCAUCCACCAACACUUCUGGCUUUUUUUUUUUUUUUUUAAGCAGCAGUAAUAUAAAAUUAUAUAUAAAAGUAAUAUAAAAUAGCAAAGCGACCUGCUGUGCUUUUGGAAGGGCUGUUUGCAGGUGUACCAAAAGAUGCUAUCUCUGCUGUGAGCAGGAUGACCAGCAUUGCCUGUAGGAGCCAGCUGAGGAUCUCCCUUCCUCAUUUAAUAGGAGCCCAGUGCUUUGCUCUUCAUCAACUGAACCAGUCCCAGCUGGCCAGAGUCCACCCUGCAGGGCAUAACAACCCUCAGGAGGGGCAGGUUUGCUCCUGGAUGAAGCUUCAGCUCCUGCCCUUCUUGUGGAGGUUUGUGCCUCUGACCCAGGCUCACUGUGGUGCUGAUGGAGCUGAGCCCUUCCUGGGCUUGCUGCGCUGUUGUGGGACUGUUCUCAACAUGCAACUGCUUUCUGUAAAGGUAACUCAGCUUCCUCUGAGCUCUGGGUUGUCCUGCAGUGCAGACACAUUCCCUGGGAGAGGUCCUAAUGGCUCAGAAGGACAGAGUAAUGUACAACAUGAGUGGAGGUAACAAAUGGCAUUCCUGUGGAAUGAGGAAUCUUACAAGAAAUGCUGCUGGCCCUAACACAUAUUUGAAGAACAAGUCU